UGCCCAAAGGAUAGUCUUUUCAGGUACCUU
Molecule: non-coding RNA, 30 nt
Filed under: Mus musculus (house mouse)
Lineage: Eukaryota; Metazoa; Chordata; Mammalia; Rodentia; Muridae
Source: RNAcentral